Bactrocera oleae (olive fruit fly) is the source of this 195-nucleotide non-coding RNA. Lineage: Eukaryota; Metazoa; Arthropoda; Insecta; Diptera; Tephritidae. The record is from RefSeq and is a predicted model, not a curated record.
GCAUUGUAAGAGGUCUCUAACGUUUCCUUCCCAACUUCGUCGGGUUAUAAAGAUAUCGAAACUAUUUAUGAAAUUGAAAUAAUAACCAGUAAUACAGCGCUGUGCCAGGGGUUAAAGCACUGAUAUCGCAGUUUCAAUAUUUCCGGUCACUUUAUAAAAAUUUCUAAUAUAAAAUCAAUUAAUACAAAUAUGAAA